RNAcentral lists this ribosomal RNA (665 nucleotides) under Enterobacter mori. RNAcentral's name for it is "partial 16S rRNA". Lineage: Bacteria; Pseudomonadati; Pseudomonadota; Gammaproteobacteria; Enterobacterales; Enterobacteriaceae. The record is from RNAcentral.
GUCAGUCUUUGUCCAGGGGGCCGCCUUCGCCACCGGUAUUCCUCCAGAUCUCUACGCAUUUCACCGCUACACCUGGAAUUCUACCCCCCUCUACAAGACUCUAGCCUGCCAGUUUCGAAUGCAGUUCCCAGGUUGAGCCCGGGGAUUUCACAUCCGACUUGACAGACCGCCUGCGUGCGCUUUACGCCCAGUAAUUCCGAUUAACGCUUGCACCCUCCGUAUUACCGCGGCUGCUGGCACGGAGUUAGCCGGUGCUUCUUCUGCGGGUAACGUCAAUUGCUGAGGUUAUUAACCUCAACACCUUCCUCCCCGCUGAAAGUACUUUACAACCCGAAGGCCUUCUUCAUACACGCGGCAUGGCUGCAUCAGGCUUGCGCCCAUUGUGCAAUAUUCCCCACUGCUGCCUCCCGUAGGAGUCUGGACCGUGUCUCAGUUCCAGUGUGGCUGGUCAUCCUCUCAGAUCAGCUAGGGAUCGUCGCCUAGGUGAGCCGUUACCCCACCUACUAGCUAAUCCCAUCUGGGCACAUCUGAUGGCAAGAGGCCCGAAGGUCCCCCUCUUUGGUCUUGCGACGUUAUGCGGUAUUAGCUACCGUUUCCAGUAGUUAUCCCCCUCCAUCAGGCAGUUUCCCAGACAUUACUCACCCGUCCGCCGCUCGCCGGCAAAG